GUACACUGGAAGGAUGUGACAUUGGGGUUCAGGAAUGAAGCUCAGCCUAAGCUUCGUGUCUGCAUUGUCACAGAAUCUCAGAAAAGUUGAGUUUGAAGGCAUGAUGAGGUUACCUAGUCCAAUCUUCAAAGGAGCCCAAAUCAUCUAUUUUGACAGGAUGCUCAAUGGGAAAGCUCACAUGACAAGAACUGAGGUGGGCCUCCAGCCAGCAGCUUAUGAGGAACUGAGGCCUCAGCCCAACAGCUCCCCAAAAGACUGAAUUCUCCAAUGACCAUCAACUAAGUGCCUUCAGAGAAGAGCCUUGAGAUGACUACAUCCUGUGAUAUUUCCAGAACCAGAGGACCUACUUAAAAAGCACUUGGAUUCCUGACCCAGGAGUCUGUGAAAUACUGUGAGAAGAUGUAUGUAUAUUGUUUUAAGCUGCUGUUAUUCAGUGAUAGAUGACUAAUACACAGCUCUCUUAGUUCAUAUUUAGGAGAACAGUCAAAACAGCAGUGAAUAAACACUUUUAAGCAGACCGCCUAUUGCUUUAAUGUCCUGGUUCUUUAUGCCGUUCUCAGGAGAUA
Long non-coding RNA from Hippopotamus amphibius kiboko, 566 nucleotides. RefSeq lists it as uncharacterized. Lineage: Eukaryota; Metazoa; Chordata; Mammalia; Artiodactyla; Hippopotamidae. The transcript has 3 exons. The record is from RefSeq and is a predicted model, not a curated record.